RNAcentral lists this ribosomal RNA (373 nucleotides) under uncultured bacterium. Its description in RNAcentral is "bacterial SSU rRNA". It matches the Rfam family "Bacterial small subunit ribosomal RNA", at positions 525 to 896 of the family's 1533-position model. The record is from RNAcentral.
ACGUAGGGGGCAAGCGUUGUCCGGAUUUAUUGGGCGUAAAGAGCGUGUAGGCGGUCAGGUAGGUCCGUUGUGAAAACUCGAGGCUCAACCUCGAGACGCCGAUGGAAACCAUCUGACUAGAGUCCGGAAGAGGAGAGUGGAAUUCCUGGUGUAGCGGUGAAAUGCGCAGAUAUCAGGAAGAACACCCGUGGCUAAGGCGGCUCUCUAGUACGGUACUGACGCUGAGACGCGAAAGCGUGGGGAGCGAACAGGAUUAGAUACCCUGGUAGUCCACGCCGUAAACGAUGGGUGCUAGGUGUAGGGGGUGUCGACUCCCUCUGUGCCGAAGCUAACGCAUUAAGCACCCCGCCUGGGGAGUACGGCCGCAAGGCUA